AAAACAUUUGGGAUUAACGCUUUUUCUUCAUAGUGGAACAAGCAUCACAGUGUACACCUGGCCACGUCCUUACAAUCGCCGAGGAAGGGAAGGAAUGUUAGUUCAACAUCUACUAGCGAAAGUGCAGGGAACCCAUACUACUUUCAUAGAUGUUUCAGGAAAAGGAGCUUGUGUUAGUAGGGCAGGUUAAUUAUCAGGAACUUAUUCAACAACAUUUCGUAGGAAAUAUUGUGUAAAAUGGAUGUAACUUACCUUUUGUCUAUUAAUUUAUGGGAAACCUAAAAUCUAGGCAUAAAAUGGUUGUAAAAAUAAAAAUAUCUAAUGCACAAAAUUUCGUGAGCUCAAAUAAAAAAACAAAUUAUACCAACGACACGACUAGACACUUGCAUUCCAAAACUGUAUCUCAAAUCUGACUACCCCUCAGUGACUCAGGUAACUGGUACUGUCAAAUUUGAUAUAUGGUUAGAAAAUAUACAAAACUAGCAGCACUAAUGAAGCUGUUAUUUUUUCCUAACAACGAUUAUGCUCCGUUGCAAUCCCUGGUUACGCCGACGAAAAUAAAUAAACAAAAUAAUUAAACCGUUGACGUUGGCUGCAAAUGUGAAAAGUAUAUUCGGCAAUAAAUUACAAAAUUAGCGCUGCUUUCCAGAGCACCCUCGAAUGAUCGAUACCUGUUUUGUUAAACAAAUCGCUCCCUAAAAUCAAAACAUCUUCCCUUGCCUAGUAUGGUGGAUAGUGCAGCAAAAAUGUUAAAACGAAUUCAAUUUGGUAUUUGGUUAGCACGACAUUAAUUGAUAUUGAACAUAUUAAAGGUAUAAAUAAAGCGUUUUAGACAAUGA
Long non-coding RNA from Topomyia yanbarensis, 839 nucleotides. RefSeq lists it as uncharacterized. The transcript is spliced from 2 exons. Lineage: Eukaryota; Metazoa; Arthropoda; Insecta; Diptera; Culicidae. The record is from RefSeq and is a predicted model, not a curated record.